RNAcentral lists this ribosomal RNA (461 nucleotides) under uncultured bacterium. RNAcentral describes it as "partial 16S ribosomal RNA". It matches the Rfam family "Bacterial small subunit ribosomal RNA", at positions 28 to 506 of the family's 1533-position model. The record is from RNAcentral.
GACGAACGCUGGCGGCGUGCUUAACACAUGCAAGUCGAGCGGUAAGGCCUUUCGGGGUACACGAGCGGCGAACGGGUGAGUAACACGUGGGUGAUCUGCCCUGCACUUCGGGAUAAGCCUGGGAAACUGGGUCAAAUACCGGAUAUGACCUCCUAUCGCAUGGUGGGUGGUGGAAAGAUUUAUCGGUGCAGGAUGGGCCCGCGGCCUAUCAGCUUGUUGGUGGGGUAAUGGCCUACCAAGGCGACGACGGGUAGCCGACCUGAGAGGGUGACCGGCCACACUGGGACUGAGACACGGCCCAGACUCCUACGGGAGGCAGCAGUGGGGAAUAUUGCACAAUGGGCGAAAGCCUGAUGCAGCGACGCCGCGUGAGGGAUGACGGCCUUCGGGUUGUAAACCUCUUUCAGCAGGGACGAAGCGCAAGUGACGGUACCUGCAGAAGAAACACCGGCUAACUACGU